UACGUAGGGGGCAAGCGUUGUCCGGAUUUAUUGGGCGUAAAGAGCGUGUAGGCGGCCAAGCAGGUCAGCUGUGAAAACUCGAGGCUCAACCUCGAGACGUCGGUUGAAACCGCUUGGCUAGGGUCCGGAAGAGGAGAGUGGAAUUCCCGGUGUAGCGGUGAGAUGCGUAGAUAUCGGGAGGAACACCUGUGGCGAAAGCGGCUCACUGGACCAUAACUGACGCUGAUGCACGAAAGCUGGGGGAGCAAACAGG
This 253-nucleotide ribosomal RNA is filed under the name uncultured bacterium. RNAcentral describes it as "partial 16S ribosomal RNA". It matches the Rfam family "Bacterial small subunit ribosomal RNA", at positions 524 to 776 of the family's 1533-position model. The record is from RNAcentral.